This 393-nucleotide ribosomal RNA is filed under the name uncultured bacterium. Its description in RNAcentral is "partial 16S ribosomal RNA". It matches the Rfam family "Bacterial small subunit ribosomal RNA", at positions 523 to 918 of the family's 1533-position model. The record is from RNAcentral.
AUACGGAGGAUGCAAGCGUUAUCCGGAUUUAUUGGGUUUAAAGGGUGCGUAGGCGGUUUGCUAAGCGGGAGGUGAAAUGCCGGCGCUCAAGGUCGGAAGUGCCUCCCGAACUGGUGGACUGGAAUGACUCUGCCGUGGGAGGAAUGUGUAGUGUAGCGGUGAAAUGCUUAGAGAUUACACAGAACACCGAUUGCGAAGGCAUCUCACGAAGGGUUGAUUGACGCUGAGGCACGAAAGCGUGGGGAUCAAACAGGAUUAGAUACCCUGGUAGGCCACGCAGUAAACGAUGAUGGCUAACCGCUGGUUUUUUCGGAUCAGUGGCCAAGCGAAAGCGAUAAGCCAUCCACCUGGGGAGUACGACCGCAAGGUUGAAACUCAAAGGAAUUGACGGGG